This 91-nucleotide small nucleolar RNA is filed under the name Hordeum vulgare. Its description in RNAcentral is "Plant small nucleolar RNA SNOR75". It matches the Rfam family "Plant small nucleolar RNA SNOR75". Rfam says of the family: U15 is a member of the C/D class of snoRNA which contain the C (UGAUGA) and D (CUGA) box motifs. Lineage: Eukaryota; Viridiplantae; Streptophyta; Magnoliopsida; Poales; Poaceae. The record is from RNAcentral.
UCUUUUUGGUGAUUAAAACAUAUGACAAGUGUGAUGUAACCCAUUUAUUCUGUUAAACCAUGUGGAUAAUCAAGGCAUUUGUAUGAGAGAA